This 84-nucleotide transfer RNA is filed under the name Granulicella sp. WH15. It matches the Rfam family "tRNA". Rfam says of the family: Transfer RNA (tRNA) molecules are approximately 80 nucleotides in length. Their secondary structure includes four short double-helical elements and three loops (D, anti-codon, and T loops). Lineage: Bacteria; Pseudomonadati; Acidobacteriota; Terriglobia; Terriglobales; Acidobacteriaceae. The record is from Rfam by way of RNAcentral.
GGCGGGUUGGCGGAACUGGCAGACGCAGGGGUCUCAAAAACCCCCGAGAGCAAUCUCGUAUCGGUUCGAUUCCGAUACCCGCCA